UUUUGAAUAAGUCGAUCGGUCUCUGUUUGAUUUAGCCUGUUUCUUUACGUGACAUGCUUCUUACUAUUACUAAUUCUCUAAUUCUGAUGCUCCUUUUUAGUCUCCACACGAAGCUACCUCAUAAUCCUAAGUAGACACUUUUAAAAAAGAGAGAAAUUCUCAAAAUUCUCUCAAAAAACAAAACAUCUACCCAUCAGUUCGGUAGUCUCAAAUCAUUAUAGCCAUUGGAUCUAUUAUUUUUUCUAAAAAAUUACCCACCUAUGCUAUUAUGAAAAUAGCCUAAAGUAACCCCUAAAUCUAUAUAUAAAUUACCCACCCCUUCCAUUAUAUAAAAUAAACUAAACAAACCCCAAAUCUUCAUCUAAAU
Molecule: long non-coding RNA, 367 nt
Filed under: Setaria viridis
Lineage: Eukaryota; Viridiplantae; Streptophyta; Magnoliopsida; Poales; Poaceae
Description: long non-coding RNA (SVIR_LNC003562)
Source: RNAcentral